Molecule: ribosomal RNA, 420 nt
Filed under: uncultured bacterium
Lineage: Bacteria
Description: bacterial SSU rRNA
Rfam family: Bacterial small subunit ribosomal RNA
Source: RNAcentral
AAGGAAUAUUGGUCAAUGGAGGCAACUCUGAACCAGCCAUGCCGCGUGCAGGAAGACAGCCCUCUGGGUCGUAAACUGCUUUUAUUCGGGAAUAAACCUACUUACGUGUAAGUAGCUGAAUGUACCGAAGGAAUAAGGAUCGGCUAACUCCGUGCCAGCAGCCGCGGUAAUACGGAGGAUCCAAGCGUUAUCCGGAUUUAUUGGGUUUAAAGGGUGCGUAGGCGGCUUUUUAAGUCAGGGGUGAAAGACGGUAGCUCAACUAUCGCAGUGCCCUUGAUACUGAAGAGCUUGAAUGAACUAGAGGUAGGCGGAAUGUGACAAGUAGCGGUGAAAUGCAUAGAUAUGUCACAGAACACCGAUUGCGAAGGCAGCUUACUAUGGUUUAAUUGACGCUGAGGCACGAAAGCGUGGGGAUCAAAC